AUUGGCAACGUGAGAGAAAGAGUCGAUGUCUGGUAGUUCAGAGCCAUAGUUUCAUAAACGUACAGGACAUGCAGCGAACUUCCCCCAAAGAGGUACAACUCCCCCACCAAACCUCCGCGCAGCGCGCCAAGCCUCGCUGCUACGGGAAGCCAAACGGGUCAAAAGGCUGUAAGUCGCCAACACGCGAAACAGAGGGCGCAUGAAGAGGAGAGAAGGGAGGGAGGAGAAUGGUCUUUUAAAAACUGCCUCACUGCACUAAUGUUCCUGAAAUCUGAACCCUUAUUGGAUCUGAAGGGCAUUAUAAGACAAGCACCCUCCAGCCUCUACCCCUGUUUAAAGGUGAGGACUAAAGGCCAAUUGACCAACCCUCCGACAAACCGGCCACCGGCCCACCCGGACGGCUCCCUCGCAACCAGGCUUGUUACUGCGAUUUAGCCAGGCGCAGCUAGCUGCCUCAUGGCCUCUGACAUUUGCGUGGAAAAAAAAAAAAAAAAAAAGAGGAUGUGCUCAACUUUCCUGUUCUACACCUGCGAUCACACUCUGGGGUCUCGAGAAAAACCCCUUGGAAUCAGUCAAGACCGUUCACUCCUGUUAUAUGCAGGGAACACAGCAACCUCUUCUGGUCAAAAGUGAAAGCAGCAGAGAGU
Long non-coding RNA from Archocentrus centrarchus (flier cichlid), 647 nucleotides. RefSeq lists it as uncharacterized. The transcript has 4 exons. The record is from RefSeq and is a predicted model, not a curated record. NCBI's taxonomy places the organism in Eukaryota, Metazoa, Chordata, Actinopteri, Cichliformes, Cichlidae.